CCCUUAGAUGUUCUGGGCCGCACGCGCGCUACACUGACGAUGGCAACGAGUUUUUCCUUCGCCGAAAGGUGUGGGUAAUCUUUUGAAACAUCAUCGUGCUGGGGAUAGAUCAUUGCAAUUUUUGAUCUUGAACGAGGAAUUCCUAGUAAGCGCGAGUCAUCAGCUCGCGUUGAUUACGUCCCUGCCCUUUGUACACACCGCCCGUCGCUACUACCGAUUGAAUGGUUUAGUGAGGACUCCUGAUUGGCGCCGCCGCCCCGGCAACGGAGCAGCGGACUGCCGAAAAGUUGUUCAAACUUGAUCAUUUAGAGGAAGUAAAAGUCGUAACA
RNAcentral lists this ribosomal RNA (329 nucleotides) under uncultured eukaryote. Its description in RNAcentral is "partial 18S ribosomal RNA". It matches the Rfam family "Eukaryotic small subunit ribosomal RNA", at positions 1470 to 1796 of the family's 1831-position model. The record is from RNAcentral.